Molecule: transfer RNA, 69 nt
Filed under: human gut metagenome
Rfam family: tRNA
About the family: Transfer RNA (tRNA) molecules are approximately 80 nucleotides in length.
Source: RNAcentral
CGGAAAUAGCUCAGUUGGUAGAGCAUCAGCUUCCCAAGCUGAGGGUCGCGAGUUCGAACCUCGUUUUCC